GGAGGGUUGGCAGAGUGGACAAAUGCACGGGUCUCGAAAACCCGAGGGAUUUUUCCCUGCACAGGUUCGAAUCCUGUACCCUCCG
Molecule: transfer RNA, 85 nt
Filed under: Candidatus Woesebacteria bacterium
Lineage: Bacteria; Candidatus Woeseibacteriota
Description: tRNA-Ser
Rfam family: tRNA
About the family: Transfer RNA (tRNA) molecules are approximately 80 nucleotides in length. Their secondary structure includes four short double-helical elements and three loops (D, anti-codon, and T loops).
Source: RNAcentral